CCCGCCAUUUUCCCGUCAUCAGAUUCUGGCACGCCCGGCAUGGAGGGCCAAGUGCAGCAGUUUGUGACCCUUCGCUUCGGUGACCUUUGGCUUAAUGUGCCAAUUGGUCCUAUCGUGACCUCACUAAGUGAAAGCUGGAAGACUACUGCCGCAUCUCCAGUUGUAGCAGAUCAAGAAGAAGUCACUUCUCCACCAAUGGAGGGGUUCACACCUGUUUUGUCAAAGUCUGCAAAGAGAAAAAUGAGGGCUGCUAGAAAGAGGGUUGCUCAGAGCUCUGCACGAAGAUCAUGUUUUAAAAGAAAUGAAGCAUGGGUUAGGAUAUGA
RNAcentral lists this ribosomal RNA (324 nucleotides) under Triticum aestivum (bread wheat). Its description in RNAcentral is "partial small subunit ribosomal RNA". The record is from RNAcentral. Lineage: Eukaryota; Viridiplantae; Streptophyta; Magnoliopsida; Poales; Poaceae.